This 258-nucleotide ribosomal RNA is filed under the name uncultured bacterium. Its description in RNAcentral is "partial 16S ribosomal RNA". It matches the Rfam family "Bacterial small subunit ribosomal RNA", at positions 524 to 777 of the family's 1533-position model. The record is from RNAcentral.
UACGGAGGGUGCGAGCGUUGUCCGGAAUCAUUGGGCGUAAAGGGCGCGUAGGUGGCCCGGUCAGCGUGCGGUGAAAGCUCGGGGCUCAACCCCGAGUCGGCCGUGCGAACUGCUGGGCUUGAGCACUGUAGAGGCAGGCGGAAUUCCGGGUGUAGCGGUGGAAUGCGUAGAGAUCCGGAAGAACACCGGUGGCGAAGGCGGCCUGACUGGGCCAGUGGCUGGACACUGGAGGCGCGACAGCGUGGGGAGCAAACAGGG